UGGAGGGAAGCAAAACAGUGCAUUAAGAACAUAAAUAUAGAUACAACAAGCUAAUUUACACCUAAUUAAAGUAUGUAUACUCUUCAGACAAAAGUCAAUGAUAUUGUUAGGAAUCAUGGCUGGCAAAGAGAUAGCACCAUCCUGGCAAGGUGGAAGCUCUAAAGGACUAAAUCAGGAAAAGAGAGAAUAAAGCAAUAAAAAUACUUCGUAUUGUAUAAAACUUCAAUAUAUUAACUAAAGGCUUAAUAAUUGGAUUCUUGGGACUAAACCAAAACUUUGCAACCAAUUGCAUAUUUAGCCAAGCCUUUUAAUUUUUGCAAUUCAUACAGAGUAUAUAUUUUUAUUCUUUUGGUUGCAACAUCAGCCUAUCUUAAUUUUGGUCAAAACUGACCCUUCAGACAAGGGGAUUCAACAUGCUAGUUUUUGGAAGCUAAUAAAAUAAAAUUAUUAUAAUAAAAUUAGAAAUAAAAGGGUAGUUUUUUAAAAAAUUAUUAUAAAGCUAGAUAGGGUCAAUUACGGCCAAAAUGGGGAAUUGAAUGAAAUUAUAACAAAAUAAAUUAAUUUUUUUUUAAAAAAAAGUUUGUAUAUAUAGCAAAAAUUUAAAGGUUUGGCUAAAAAUGCAGCUGGUAGUAAUGUUUUGGCUUUAACAGUUAUUAAGGCACAAAUUGGGAUUUAGGGUGGUAGUAUAAUUUACACUCCUUCCCAUGUACUCUGUAGUAGAUAUGAGUUUGAACCCCAUCACCCCAUCCCCUAUCAGAUCUACCAAAAAAUAAAUUAUAUAUACAAAGGUUAUACCUAAUAAUGAAAAUAAGAUAAAAAAUCUCUAGAAUUCCUAAACUACAAGUAAUAAAAUUAUGCUGACAGGUAAAAAUCAAUUGUGUGCGACUGCAGCUUUUAUUGUCAAAUAUAUAGUGCUAUAUUAUGAUGAAACAAUCAGAGACAAGACAGACAAUAACUAAGUAAAAGUCAUCCAACAAAUUUCUGAGAAAUGUCAGAGAAACAGUAAUGCAAAGGGUUCCCCAGAGAUGAAGAUAUGAGUAUUGAAUAUGAAAAAAUAUCUUAAGGCUCAAAAUAAGCUUCCUAACAAUGGAACUCGAAAAAUGGCAGUGCUAUUACCAAGAGAAAUUUCCCUUCAAUCUGGAUUUUUUUUGCCUAAGUAACAAAGGCAAGUAACAGUGGCAGAACCACUCAUAAAUCAAAUUGAACAAACUCAAAGGUAGAAUUAUCUACAGCCAGAUUAAAAUGGGCAUAUCUUAGGGACCAAUCCCGAAGAGUAUUAAUCAAAAUAUAAUAAAGAUUUGAUAUUUAAGCAACCAGUUCUAGACUUCUGGCCUCUGGGAAGCACUACACCAAACUGCAGCACCAUCCUUAUAAGGAAAAUAGUCAUGAUGCUUCCCCCUCAUUCCUCAUGGUACUCAAAAACUAAUGAUGUUCCAACUUCUUUUCAGAAUUCAACCAAUGGAAAAUCAUAAAUUUUCCAGUUCAUCUUUGAGUAAAUGACACCACCCAUUGUUCUAGCAUACAUUUAAGUUUUUGGUCCAUUACAAAUA
Ipomoea nil (Japanese morning glory) is the source of this 1550-nucleotide long non-coding RNA. RefSeq lists it as uncharacterized. The record is from RefSeq and is a predicted model, not a curated record. Lineage: Eukaryota; Viridiplantae; Streptophyta; Magnoliopsida; Solanales; Convolvulaceae. The transcript has 4 exons.